Molecule: ribosomal RNA, 212 nt
Filed under: Streptomyces sp. NRRL S-4
Lineage: Bacteria; Bacillati; Actinomycetota; Actinomycetes; Kitasatosporales; Streptomycetaceae
Description: partial 23S ribosomal RNA
Rfam family: Bacterial large subunit ribosomal RNA
Source: RNAcentral
UAGCGGAUAGUACCGUGAGGGAAUGGUGAAAAGUACCGCGGGAGCGGAGUGAAAUAGUACCUGAAACCGUGUGCCUACAAGCCGUGGGAGCGUCGCUGUAUGUGCUUGCACAUGCAGUCGUGACUGCGUGCCUUUUGAAGAAUGAGCCUGCGAGUUAGCGGUGUGUAGCGAGGUUAACCCGUGUGGGGAAGCCGUAGCGAAAGCGAGUCCGA